CUACGGGCUGCUGCAGUGGGGAAUAUUGCACAGUGGGCGCAAGCCUGAUGCAGCCAUGCCGCGUGUAUGAAGAAGGCCUUCGGGUUGUAAAGUACUUUCAGCGGGGAGGAAGGGAGUAAAGUUAAUACCUUUGCUCAUUGACGUUACCCGCAGAAGAAGCACCGGCUAACUCGCGUGCCAGCAGCCGCGGUAAUACGGAGGGUGGGCAAGCGUUAAUCGGAAUUACUGGGCGUAAAGCGCACGCAGGCGGUUUGUUAAGUCAGAUGUGAAAUCCCCGGGCUCAACCUGGGAACGGCAUCUGAUACUGGCAAGCUUGAGUCGCGGAGAGGGGGGUAGAAUUCCAGGUGUAGCGGUGAAAUGCGUAGAGAUCUGGAGGAAUACCGGUGGCGAAGGCGGCCCCCUGGACGAAGACUGACGCUCAGGUGCGAAAGCGUGGGGAGCAAACAGGAUUAGAUACCCCCGUAGUC
Molecule: ribosomal RNA, 467 nt
Filed under: uncultured bacterium
Lineage: Bacteria
Description: partial 16S ribosomal RNA
Rfam family: Bacterial small subunit ribosomal RNA
Source: RNAcentral